Molecule: ribosomal RNA, 311 nt
Filed under: uncultured bacterium
Lineage: Bacteria
Description: bacterial SSU rRNA
Rfam family: Bacterial small subunit ribosomal RNA
Source: RNAcentral
GACGAACGCUGGCGGCGCGCCUAACACAUGCAAGUCGAACGAGCGAGAGAGAGCUUGCUUUCUCGAGCGAGUGGCGAACGGGUGAGUAACGCGUGAGGAACCUGCCUCAAAGAGGGGGACAACAGUUGGAAACGACUGCUAAUACCGCAUAAGCCCACGACCCGGCAUCGGGUUGAGGGAAAAGGAGCAAUCCGCUUUGAGAUGGCCUCGCGUCCGAUUAGCUAGUUGGCGGGGUAACGGCCCACCAAGGCGACGAUCAGUAGCCGGACUGAGAGGUUGAACGGCCACAUUGGGACUGAGACACGGCCCAG